Molecule: ribosomal RNA, 234 nt
Filed under: uncultured bacterium
Lineage: Bacteria
Description: partial 16S ribosomal RNA
Rfam family: Bacterial small subunit ribosomal RNA
Source: RNAcentral
UGAGUAACCUGCCCUUAACUCUGGGAUAAGCCUGGGAAACUGGGUCUAAUACCGGAUAUGACUCCUCAUCGCAUGGGUGGGGGGUGGAAAGCUUUUUGUGGUUUUGGAUGGACUCGCGGCCUAUCAGCUUGUUGGUGAGGUAAUGGCUUACCAAGGCGACGACGGGUAGCCGGCUGAGAGGGUGACCGGCCACACUGGGACUGAGACACGGCCCAGACCUCCGUACGGGAGCAG